UCUAUGGAGGUAUCUAUGCUACUCGUCUUGCUAGACACUUUGAGAUACCUAUUAGACUGGAGGAGGAAGAAGAGAUUUUUCUUCCCGAGAGAUAUCUAGAUUACGAUAGCAUGGUUCGCCAUGACUUUCUUGAUAGAGAUAUAAAUAGAAGGAUGAUUUAUAACCUGGUAUUUAGUGAGGGUACUUGUGAGACUAUUACUUUGCCUGCUCCUUGUUUGUUCAAUCUUCAUGCAGGAAGGUACAUUAUUAUGCCCUCGGACAUCUACGCAUA
Molecule: long non-coding RNA, 271 nt
Filed under: Hordeum vulgare
Lineage: Eukaryota; Viridiplantae; Streptophyta; Magnoliopsida; Poales; Poaceae
Description: long non-coding RNA (HVUL_LNC012400)
Source: RNAcentral